This is a long non-coding RNA of Drosophila ananassae, 411 nucleotides long. RefSeq lists it as uncharacterized. The record is from RefSeq and is a predicted model, not a curated record. The transcript has 3 exons. NCBI's taxonomy places the organism in Eukaryota, Metazoa, Arthropoda, Insecta, Diptera, Drosophilidae.
CAAAACUAAACGCAGAGGGAAGUGAGCAGUGCUCAGUGUAUUAAAAGUGAAUUACAUUUUUGCGGUGCCAAUUCAAGGUCGAAUUGGCACCCAGUAAGAACCCAUUUGUGUAUUGUUCUUACAUUGGGAAUAAGUUUACAAUCCCCCAAGCAGCAGUUUACCCUAAGAAGGGCUUCCAGCGCCACGCCGCGGGAUCUGAUGGAUUUAUUAUAAAUUAGUAUUCAUCGCUCAACCCGACAAAAGAUCUUUUGGACGUGGAUAUUAAACUCGAUGUAAGUGAAAAAAAAAACUCAUUACCCCAAAUUAAAUAUUGUUGGUGGUUAGGCUGAUUUUUCUCAGUGUAAUAAAAGCUUUACCUGAAAGAUUUUUAUCUCCCAUACGGUAAAAUCGAACCACGCGGUUGCAAUUAAA